ACUGAAUAGAUACCCCGGUAGUCCUAGCCCUAAACGAUGAAUGCUUGGUGUGGCGGGUAUCGAUCCCUGCCGUGCCGAAAGCUAACGCAUUAAGCAUUCCGCCUGGGGAGUACGGUCGCAAGGCCGAAACUCAAAGGAAUUGACGGGGGCCCGCACAAGCGGUGGAGCAUGUGGUUCAAUUCGACGCAACGCGAAGAACCUUACCUGGGCUCGAAAUGCAGAUGACAACCGAUGAAAGUCGGCUCCCGCAAGGGCGUCUGUAUAGGUGCUGCAUGGCUGUCGUCAGCUCGUGUCGUGAGAUGUUGGGUUAAGUCCCGCAACGAGCGCAACCCUCGUCCUCUGUUGCCAUCAGGUCAAGCUGGACACUCUGAGGAGACUGCCGGUGAUAAACCGGAGGAAGGUGGGGAUGACGUCAAGUCAGCAUGGCCUUUAUGUCCAGGGCCACACACGUGCUACAAUGGCGGAUACAAAGCGCUGCAAACCCGCGAGGGUGAGCCAAUCGCAUAAAGUCCGUC
RNAcentral lists this ribosomal RNA (515 nucleotides) under uncultured bacterium. Its description in RNAcentral is "bacterial SSU rRNA". It matches the Rfam family "Bacterial small subunit ribosomal RNA", at positions 772 to 1287 of the family's 1533-position model. The record is from RNAcentral.